AUCGCUUCUCGGCCUUUUGGCUAAGAUCAAGUGUAGUAUCUGUUCUUAUCAGUUUAAUAAUAACAGUAACAGUUUUCAACCCACAGUUAUCUUAGGAAUAUUUUAUUUUUAACAGCUUCU
This 120-nucleotide small nuclear RNA is filed under the name Myotis brandtii (Brandt's bat). Its description in RNAcentral is "U2 spliceosomal RNA". It matches the Rfam family "U2 spliceosomal RNA". From Rfam's summary of the family: U2 is a small nuclear RNA (snRNA) component of the spliceosome (involved in pre-mRNA splicing). Lineage: Eukaryota; Metazoa; Chordata; Mammalia; Chiroptera; Vespertilionidae. The record is from Rfam by way of RNAcentral.